Rosa rugosa (rugosa rose) is the source of this 125-nucleotide small nucleolar RNA. The record is from RefSeq and is a predicted model, not a curated record. NCBI's taxonomy places the organism in Eukaryota, Viridiplantae, Streptophyta, Magnoliopsida, Rosales, Rosaceae.
GAGCAAAGGCGUCUAAUUAAUGGCGCAAAUUGCAUUGAAGGUUGGCAAUAACUAACCAUGAAGCGACUCUCCGUGCCUUCCAAAUCUCUUAAUUUUGAGUUUGGCCUCGAACAAGUCGCUAUAUU